RNAcentral lists this unclassified non-coding RNA (526 nucleotides) under Hevea brasiliensis (rubber tree). Lineage: Eukaryota; Viridiplantae; Streptophyta; Magnoliopsida; Malpighiales; Euphorbiaceae. The record is from RNAcentral.
UGCUGCUGGGGGCACAGCCACUUCCGCCGCGGCUGGCGGAGCCGGCUCUGCCGCCUCUACCUUGACGGCUUCUUCGGUAAUUGCAGCAACGGGCUCUUCUGCGGACUUUGGCGGCUCCUCCGCCGCCGCCGCCUCAGGAGCGGGUUCCUCGACCUUGGCGGCGGGAGGGGGAGGGGGCGGUGGGGCCGCGAACUCGUUGUUGGCGAGCGCGGCUUGGAUGAGUUGUUUGAACUCUUCGAGGGCUUUUUUCUCGGGAUCGAUGAGGUCGGCGACCUUGUUGCUCUCCUCCUUAAAGGAGGUGGACUGGCCGACGGCGUCGUCGGUCUCCGCUGCCGGGGCAUCUGUGCCGGCGGGGGUUUCAGCUGCUGCGGAGGACUUUUCUGGCUCAUCCGCCGCGGGAGGAGUGGAAUCCAGCACCGCCGCUGGCUUCUCGGCUGCUGGAGCUGGUGGCGGGGUAACCACGACCUCGGCAGCGGCGGCGGCGGGGGCUAGGGUUUCGGCGGCCAUGUCGAGGAAGAGAGAGAAA